UGAGUACGAAAUGCUACGGCAUUGAAGCAGUCUAUGUCAUACUUCCUAGAAAAGCUUGCACUGUCAUAAACAAAUAAUGCCUGUACCAUAACCGACACAGGUGGGUAGGUAGAGUAUACUAAGGGGCGCGAGAUAACUCUCUCUAAGGAACUCGGCAAAAUGACUCCGUAACUUCGGGAGAAGGAGUGCCUUAUUUAUAAGGUUGCAAUAACAAGAUCCAAGCAACUGUUUAUCAAAAACACAGGUCUCCGCUAAGUCGUAAGACGAUGUAUGGGGGCUGACGCCUGCCCAGUGCCAGAAGGUUAAAGAAGUUGGUUAGCAUUCGCGAAGCUGAUAACUGAAGCCCUGGUGAACGGCGGCCGUAACGAUAACGGUCCUAAGGUAGCGAAAUUCCUUGUCGGGUAAGUUCCGACCCGCACGAAAGGCGUAAUGAUCUGGAUACUGUCUCGGAGAGGGGCUCGGUGAAAUAGACUUGUCUGUGAAGAUGCGGACUACCUGCACCUGGACAGAAAGACCCUAUGAAGCUUUACUGUAACUUGAAAUUGAAAUUGGACUUUAUUUGCGCAGUAUAGGUGGGAGGCAUUGAAGAUAUUCUUGCGGGAAUAUUGGAGCCAUCAGUGAGAUACCACUCUUGUAAUGUUAGAUUUCUAACUUUGUAUCAUUAUCUGGUCAAAGAACAGUUUCAGGCGGGCAGUUUGACUGGGGCGGUCGCCUCCCAAAUGGUAACGGAGGCGCACAAAGGUUUCCUCUGAACGGGUAGAAAUCGUAUCUAGAGUGUAAAGGCAUAAGGAAGCUUGACUGUGAGACCUACAAGUCGAGCAGGGACGAAAGUCGGUCUUAGUGAUCUGACGGUGCUGAGUGGAAAGGCCGUCACUCAACGGAUAAAAGUUACUCUAAGGAUAACAGGCUGAUCUCCCCCAAGAGUUCACAUCGACGGGGAGGUUUGGCACCUCGAUGUCGGCUCAUCGCAUCCUGGGGCGGUAGUACGUCCCAAGGGUUGGGCUGUUCGCCCAUGAAAGCGGUACGCGAGCUGGGUUCAGAACGUCGUGAGACAGUUCGGUCCAUAUCCGGUGUAGGCGUUAGAAUAUUGAGAGGAGCCUUCUUUAGUACGAGAGGACCGAGAAGGACAUACCUCUGGUGUACCAGUUAUUGUGCCAACGGUAAACGCUGGGUAGCUAUGUAUGGAGAGGAUAACCGCUGAAAGCAUCUAAGUGGGAAGCCCACCUCAAGAUAAGUA
RNAcentral lists this ribosomal RNA (1237 nucleotides) under metagenome. RNAcentral's name for it is "bacterial LSU rRNA". It matches the Rfam family "Bacterial large subunit ribosomal RNA", at positions 1564 to 2810 of the family's 2925-position model. The record is from RNAcentral.